Molecule: ribosomal RNA, 495 nt
Filed under: uncultured bacterium
Lineage: Bacteria
Description: partial 16S ribosomal RNA
Rfam family: Bacterial small subunit ribosomal RNA
Source: RNAcentral
GACGAACGCUGGCGGCGUGCCUAAUACAUGCAAGUAGAACGCUGAAGGAGGAGCUUGCUUCUCUGGAUGAGUUGCGAACGGGUGAGUAACGCGUAGGUAACCUGCCUGGUAGCGGGGGAUAACUAUUGGAAACGAUAGCUAAUACCGCAUAAUAGUAGAUGUUGCAUGACAUUUGCUUAAAAGGUGCAAUUGCAUCACUACCAGAUGGACCUGCGUUGUAUUAGCUAGUUGGUGAGGUAACGGCUCACCAAGGCGACGAUACAUAGCCGACCUGAGAGGGUGAUCGGCCACACUGGGACUGAGACACGGCCCAGACUCCUACGGGAGGCAGCAGUAGGGAAUCUUCGGCAAUAGACGGAAGUCUGACCGAGCAACGCCGCGUGAGUGAAGAAGGUUGUCGGAUCGUAAAGCUCUGUUGUAAGAGAAGAACGAGUGUGAGAGUGGAAAGUUCACACUGUGACGGUAUCUUACCAGAAAGGGACGGCUAACUACGUG